UCGACUAUGGAGAUAAGAAAAUGAGAUAAAUCGUUGGGAACAUAUCAGUCCAAAAUCUAGAAUUUUCAAACGGGGACCUAUCAAGUGUCAACAAACCAGGCGUACCUGCACGUGAUUCAGCACCGGGGGAAUUUGAUGGAUUCGCACCUUGUGUGGUCGCCAUCGGUGAUGCGAGAUCGUUCACCACUUCGGACAUAGCCGGAAAAGAGUUACGCGAUUUUUGACUUCUCCGGAAAAGCUAAAGCGUUAUGUCGAAUAACACCACUUGUUCCUGCCAAAGAUCAGGGGCUGGCACCUUCCAUAUAUAUCGUGUGUAAGAGAGAGAAUUUUCAAAUCUGCGGGUGAAUGCAGCCAAAGUUUUUUUUUUUAUUGGUCUUACUCUAUUCCUAUUCUAACUCUAAGAUUUUGCCUUAACUCAUUGUAGGGCGUGGGAAUCGAAACCCACUUUUAAAAUUAAAUCGUUCACAUCCCAAUCCUCUAAAAAUGUGGGAAUUCGAACCUCCACCUCCUCAUUCCAAGUUGGAAGGGUGGCCACUGGGGUAAACCCCAGUGGUUGAAUGCAGCCAAAGUUGGAACGCCAAGGAAAACAUAAACAAUUGUCAUAUUGACAAAAGAAUAUAAACGGGCACAAGCCCCUGAUAACAUUCUUAGAUGAAAGAUGCAAGUAAAUGCCCCCGAUAUCAUUCUUAGACAAAAGAUGCAAGUUAAGAAUAUUGUAAAAAAAAAAAGAGAUAGAGAAUUGUGAAGUGCCAAACACCCAAGUGCCAAAACUUGACACGGAUGAAUAUAUAAGUGUCAAAACUUACAAAGGUGCAAGAAUUUUCCUAAUGCGUGCUACACUAAUUGAUAUUGUAAUUUAUCGUUUUGCGGGUUAGUCUAUGGUGAGAUAAAAAUUUAUUAAUUAGUUUAAUAUGGGGCUGGUUAGUAUGGGCCGGAUUGAGUCCGACCCGUAAUAAGAGAGUUUAGCUGAAAACUCUAUAAAUAGAAGAAGAAGAUGAAGAUGAAGAAGAAGAAGCAGAAGAUGAGGUUGUGUGAGGUUGACCUUGCCUAGAUUUGGUCAGGUUGAGCAUCACUGAAGGCCAGAAGAAGAAGAUUAAAAUGUAAUAAAAUUAUUAAAAAGUUAGAUGGUUGAUACCCUAAAAAAACUUCAAACUGGUACUCAUAUGACAAAUUUGUCAAAAACUAAUUUUCUUACCACCAAAAACCCAAAACUAAUAUAUUUUUUUUAUAACUUAACUAAAAACUGAUACACUUGUAAUAAAUUCACCUUUGCUAGUUUCCAUUAAAUUUUACUAUUAAAUUGUUAAGUUUGAUGGCACGUGAUAAUUGACUAGUAUACUAGUUUGGGAUUAUACUAUUUGUAUAUUACAGUUAUACAAUUUUUGUGAUUUUGUUAUGAUAUUAAUCUAAGUAAAAGAACAUCUUAAGUGCCAAAAUUUGGUACAAUGAGAUACUUAAGUCACUUUUUAUGAAAAAUGGGAAACUUAAAUGUUACAUUCAGCGAAUCCCACUGGAAUUCAUACAUGGUAAUUCAUAGGCAAUGAAAGGAUGAGUAAUGGUAAGAUAUACAAGAAUGCCAACCAACUGUCAAUAAAGUGUAGGAUUCGAAAGGGCAGUUCUAUCAUUUGCAUCAAAUUUAGCAUUUGCCUCAAUUGGAGUUAUAGCAAUCUUGGUGUCAAUAAGUCUUGUGCGAUAAAGAAAAUAAACAGUGCAUUUUGCUUAAGAAAUAUAAUAGCCUAUGGAGUCUAAGGCAACCUCCACUCCUAGAAAAUAACUAAGUUGUGCCGCGACCUACCAUUCAAGAAAUAAGUUUAGGGGUAUUGCCUAAAGGACAGGCCUAUAGCCUAUGAUUAGGCAUGAGCUAGUCCAUAACUCACGUGAAAUUGUGGUAUUUUAAUAAUUUCACAAUAAGGAGCCGCCAUUAGCUUAUUGGGAUCGGUUAGAAACCAAGUGAGGUAUUGAGAGUGUACCUCACUUCCUAUGCAACCAAAGAAUGUAGGAUCGGGGAUUUGAUUACACUAAUUGACUAAUUAGUACUCUUUCGGUACCUAAUUUUGUUCAUUUUAAAGAAAAAUAUUUUUGUUAAGCAGUUUAAAUUAAUUUUAGGCAUAUCUAUUAACAUGUAAAGUAAUCGUGCGCGUGCGCAAUAAUUAAAAAAAAACAAUUAGCAGCAAAUGAAAGCGUUUAAAUAAAUUGCAUGGAAUAGCAAAUAUUUAACAUUAAGGAAAAGAUAAAUACUAAUAUUAACUAGAUUAAAAGGAUCAAAAUAGCAAAAGUAUGCAAACAAGAGUAAUUAUCUUUGAGAACAAUUGUAAUCCUAAGGUAAAGCCCUAAAUGUUUACUCAAUUUUUAGCACAACUAUAGAGCUAAGAAACUUCUAAUUUUUGAGAAAACAACUCAUGAAGUCUUUUUUUGUAAAAAUUUUCAAAAGAAAAUUUGAAUUUCCUGACUUUUUUAUUUUUUAUUUAAAUUUUCUAAUUUUUUAUUUUUAUAAAAAAACUCGAAUUUUCAAUAUUUUCUGAAUUUUUUUUGAAUUUUUUUAAUGUUUUCUGAAAGUUGUUGAACUUUCGGAAAAGUUUUUGAAUUUAUAUAUAUUUUAUUUUUUUAAUAUUUUUAAUUUUUAAUUUAUUUUUUCUUUUGUCCUUUCCCUAUUUUGUCCUAUUCACUGCACUCUUGUUGGCCAGCCACCCCCGGUAGUGUGCCACUACUGAGGCCCUGUCAUUUCCCUGAACCCUGCCUAAUAUGCUAAGAGAAGGACUUCACGGGGAUUAAGGUUAGGUCCCUAACCCUUUCGGGCUUGGCCGAGAUACCUAAUGAGAUUGUUAUCCCAUACUACUCUCCCCCUCACUUGCCUAUAAAUGGCUUGUGAGGAGGAGUCCCCGGAAUUGUCUAUUCAAGGGGGAGCAGUUUUUAAAGACCUACUCUGGUCUCUCCUUUACUCUACUCUAGCCGAGAAAAUAUUAAGUGAUUUCAAAGCAUCACGUCAAUUGCUGACGUGGCAUGCAUUUUACACGUUUUGGAGGUGGAAUAAAAAAUGAAAUUCUUUUUUUUUCAACUUCCUGCAUCGCCCCCUCUUCUCCUCUCCUCUGCAAAUCGUUUCUCGGCCAUGGAUGGCACGGCCUCCUCCUCCUUCCGGCCACCGCCUGCCCGCCACUUGAGAAUCCCGUUCGGCUGUCUCCACCGCACAAGCCAGAGGGGAAUUGGAACAGUCAUGGAGUCUCUCUCUCUAGUGUCUCCUUCCAUUGUCCUCCCUUAAAGUUCCCUUCCGUGAAGCCCAGCCAUGACAGAUCUGGAGCCAUGGCAGGAUCUAGAUCUGGAACCGUGGAGCCAUGGCCGCGUUCUUGACAGAACUUGAAGCCAUGGCCGCACAACAGACCUUAGAGCCAGAUCUGUCGCGGUUAUGGCUUCACAGACGAGGCCAUCCCUCGCCUCGUCAAGACUUGUUCCAUCAUUUUUUAAGGCUCAGCCAUGAUGGCUCGACCGAGAUCUGGAGGAGGAGUUGCUUGGCCAUGGCUCGGUCGAGAUCUGGAGAAGGUUUAGCGCUCAGCUUUUCUGAAGCUCAGUGAUGACUGGAGGAGGGAGUAGCCGAGAUCUAAAGGUUGGCCAGGUCUGUUGCGGCCAUGGCUUCGCGGUUCCAGAUCUGGAUGCGGCCAAGUGACAUCAGAAGGGGCGGAGAUGGUGGCCGGACGGGUGUUCUCUGUCAGGGAGGAAGAUGAACAGAGAAAAAAAGAUUUUUAUUUUUUUUAUUUCACCUUAUCCAACACCAACACGUGUCGAUCUACUAUUGGAUAUCAAUAAAAAAAAGCGCAUCACGUCAGUAAUUAACGUGGCGCUUUGGAAUCAUUGAAUAUUUUCUCCCUCCAGCGACUCCUCUUCCCGAAGCCACUUUCUCUCUUUUUUUUUUUUUAUUAUUAUUAUUUUUUUUCUUUUGCCUUUUGGUCUUCUUCUUCGUGCGUUCUCUGCACGCCCGAUGCUCCUUAUUCCCGAAGACCCCUUCACCGCACCAACACCUUCGACCGAGAUUUGCUGCCGCCGGCCCCUCUGUCUCUCCCAAGCGCCUCCUUCACACCGCCCUCACUCCUUGCGAGAGUCGCGAUCCGCCACCAUCCAUCGCCCGAACGGAGGACACAAAACACACCACGUACGCGCAAGCGACCGUGACGAAGGAAAGAAGCGAGGAAUAGCGAUAGUAACGUAUAAAAGCCAACAGAAUAUGAACGAAGGGAUCUACCAUUUCAGGGAGACGAACGUGACUUGCAUGGGUAUCACAGAGACAUUUCAUUGAACAACACCGACCGGGCCGGAGGCAAACGAUAACUCGACAUGACCUCAAGACAAACAAGCAGGGUCCAGAGGCAACGACGCGCAGUACCGACUGAGAUAAACAUAGACAAACAAGCAGGGUCCAGAGGCAACGACGCGCAGCACCGCCGGGGUCGGGACUCGAGCGGACGGAAGAACUGCGAGCCCCCGAUCCGACGAGCUCAAGAACAGGGUAACAUGGAGCGCGCCAAUGCGCUUGGGUGACGGGCCCUACUCGGCUCGACGGGGCGGCGGCCAGCAGGGCGGACCCGAGACGGAUCGAGCCGUGGCCGGCCGCCCUGGCGUCGUCGAGACGAGAUCCUCGGGUCAAAGGGGUGCUGAACUCUAGAAACAAAAAAUAAAAAAGAAAAAAGAAAAAGACUUACCGGAAAUAUGGACGUCGGGAAGCCGGGUCUCAAGCGCGGCCAAGCUUCUCUCUUGCUUUCCACUCUCGAUUUCUCUCUGCCUUCCCCCAAUCUCCCCCUCGGUUCCUCCUGUCCGCCGUUCCUGCUGCCCCCUUCCUUUC
RNAcentral lists this long non-coding RNA (4828 nucleotides) under Eucalyptus grandis. RNAcentral describes it as "long non-coding RNA (EGRA_LNC007575)". The record is from RNAcentral. Lineage: Eukaryota; Viridiplantae; Streptophyta; Magnoliopsida; Myrtales; Myrtaceae.